Molecule: ribosomal RNA, 253 nt
Filed under: uncultured bacterium
Lineage: Bacteria
Description: partial 16S ribosomal RNA
Rfam family: Bacterial small subunit ribosomal RNA
Source: RNAcentral
UACGAAGGGUGCAAGCGUUAUUCGGAUUUAUUGGGUGUAAAGGGUGUGUAGACGGUAUGUUAAGUCCGCUGUUAAAUUUCCCGGCCUAACUGGGAACCAGCGGUGGAUACUGACGUGCUAGAGGAUGGAAGAGAGAAGUGGAAUUCCCGGAGUAGCGGUAAAAUGCGUAGAUCUCGGGAGGAACACCAAUGGCGAAGGCAGCUUCUUGGUCCAUAUCUGACGUUGAGACACGAAAGCGUGGGGAGCAAACGGG